AACAUUGCGAGAUUGUCAUCGGUGGAGUCUUCUGCGAUGACACUGCGAUGACAGUGUAAAACUGUUGAUACGAGGAUUGCUGGCGGCGUUGGCCAGAUUUUGUUGCUGGCGAAUUUUGCAGAACGGAUGGUUUUUCAUUUUAAAUGAUGUUGCUGCCAGACAGGUCAGUACCUGGCCACCAGUGUGGCCGCGUGUUGGUUUUUGGUACGUCCGGUGUAUAUAUAGGGGUUGCUGCUGUCGGCAAAUAAUUUUCCGGUAAGUGUUGUGU
Molecule: long non-coding RNA, 268 nt
Organism: Drosophila willistoni
Lineage: Eukaryota; Metazoa; Arthropoda; Insecta; Diptera; Drosophilidae
Exons: 3
Source: RefSeq, a predicted model, not a curated record